UACGAAGGGAGCUAGCGUUGUUCGGAAUCACUGGGCGUAAAGCGCACGUAGGCGGACGUGUCAGUCAGGGGUGAAAUCCCGGAGCUCAACUUCGGAACUGCCUUUGAUACUGGCAAUCUCGAGUCCGGGAGAGGUGAGUGGAACUGCGAGUGUAGAGGUGAAAUUCGUAGAUAUUCGCAAGAACACCAGUGGCGAAGGCGGCUCACUGGCCCGGUACUGACGCUGAGGUGCGAAAGCGUGGGGAGCAAACAGG
This 253-nucleotide ribosomal RNA is filed under the name uncultured bacterium. RNAcentral's name for it is "partial 16S ribosomal RNA". It matches the Rfam family "Bacterial small subunit ribosomal RNA", at positions 524 to 776 of the family's 1533-position model. The record is from RNAcentral.